ACUACGGGAGGCAGCAGUGAGGAAUAUUGGUCAAUGGGCGCGAGCCUGAACCAGCCAAGUAGCGUGAAGGAUGACUGCCCUACGGGUUGUACACUUCUUUUAUAAAGGAAUAAAGUGAGGCACGUGUGCCUUUUUGUAUGUACUUUAUGAAUAAGGAUCGUCUAACUCCGUGCCAGCAGCCGCGGUAAUACGGAGGAUCCGAGCGUUAUCCGGAUUUAUUGGGUGUAAAGGGAGCGUAUAUGGGUGGUUAAGUCAGUUGUGAAAGUUUGCGGCUCAACAGUAAAAGUGCAAUUGAUACUGGCAGUCUUGAGUACAGUUGAGGUAGGCGGAAUUCGUGGUGUAGCGGUGAAAUGCUUAGAUAUCACUAAGAACUCCGAUUGCGAAGGCAGCUUACUAAACUGCCACUGACAUUGAUGCUCGAAAGUGUGGGUAUCAAACAGGAUUAGAUACCCUAGUAGUC
RNAcentral lists this ribosomal RNA (460 nucleotides) under uncultured bacterium. RNAcentral's name for it is "partial 16S ribosomal RNA". It matches the Rfam family "Bacterial small subunit ribosomal RNA", at positions 338 to 795 of the family's 1533-position model. The record is from RNAcentral.